UCAUAAGACCGUACCCGAAACCGACACAGGUGGACUGGUAGAGUAUACCAAGGCGCUUGAGAGAACUAUUCUGAAGGAACUCGGCAAAAUGCAUCUGUAACUUAGGGAGAAAGAUGACCCAUUUCUGGGCAACCAGGAGUGGGUGGCACAAACCAGGGGGUAGCGACUGUUUACUAAAAACACAGGGCUCUGCAAAGUCGAAAGACGAAGUAUAGGGCCUGACGCCUGCCCAGUGCCUGAAGGUUAAGAGGAGAUGUGCAAGCAUUGAAUUGAAGCCCAGGUGAACGGCGGCCGUAACGAUGACGGUCCUAAGGUAGCGAAAUUCCUUGUCGGGUAAGUUCCGACCCGCACGAAUGGCGUAGCGACUUCCCCGCUGUCUCCAGAGUAGACUCAGCGAAAUUGAAUUCCCCGUGAAGAUGCGGGGUUCCCGCGGUUAGACGGAAAGACCCCGUGCACCUUUACUGCAGCUUUACACUGGCAUUAGGAAUUAAAUGUGUAGGAUAGGUGGGAGACUUAGAAGUGAGGGCGCAAGCCUUCAUGGAGUCGUCCUUGAAAUACCACCCUUUUGAUUUUUGGUGUCUAACUAAGGUCCGUGAAUCCGGAUCUAGGACAAUGUAUGGUGGGCAGUUUGACAGGGGCGGUCGCCUCCUAAAUAGUAACGGAGGCGUGCGAAGGUAGGCUCAAUCUGGUCGGAAAUCAGAUGUUAGAGUGCAAUGGCAUAAGCCUGCCUGACUGCGAGACUGACAGGUCAAGCAGAGACGAAAGUCGGUCAUAGUGAUCCGGUAGUCCUGAGUGGAAGGGCUAUCGCUCAACGAAUAAAAGGUACGCCGGGGAUAACAGGCUGAUGAUUCCUAAGAGCUCAUAUCGACGGAAUCGUUUGGCACCUCGAUGUCGACUCAUCACAUCCUGGGGCUGAAGCAGGUCCCAAGGGUUCGGCUGUUCGCCGAUUAAAGUGGUACGUGAGUUGGGUUUAGAACGUCGCGAGACAGUUCGGUUCCUAUCUGCCGUGGGUGUUGGAAAUUUGAGAGGAUCUGUCUUUAGUACGAGAGGACCGAGAUGGACAUACCUCUAGUGCGCCAGUUGUCACGCCAGUGGCAUAGCUGGGUAGCUACGUAUGGAAGGGAUAACCGCUGAAAGCAUCUUAAGCGGAAAACCCACCUCAAAACAAGAUUUCCCCAUUAGAGCCGUAGAAGACCACUACGUUGAUAGGCCAGGUGUGUAAGCAUGGUAACAUGUGUAGCUUACUGGUACUAAUAGCUCGAUUGAUUC
Molecule: ribosomal RNA, 1269 nt
Filed under: metagenome
Description: bacterial LSU rRNA
Rfam family: Bacterial large subunit ribosomal RNA
Source: RNAcentral